RNAcentral lists this long non-coding RNA (4780 nucleotides) under Homo sapiens (human). Its description in RNAcentral is "non-protein coding lnc-AKR1E2-7:5". Lineage: Eukaryota; Metazoa; Chordata; Mammalia; Primates; Hominidae. The record is from RNAcentral.
GUGGUUGUUGACAAUCCUUUUCAUUCCUUGGCUUGUAAUUGUAUGCCUCUGCCUUUACUCUUGUGUUCAUUUGGUGCUCUCUCUAUAUGUAUCUGUGCCUAAAUUUCCCUCUGCUUAUAAGAAAACCAGUCAUAUUGGAUUAGGAACCACUUUAGUCCAGUAUGAUCUAAUUUUAACUAAUUAUAUAGUUAAAGGCCCUAUUUUAACAUAAGCUCACAUUCUGAGUUUAUGAGUGGGCAUGGAUUUGGGGGUCUUCAACCCAGUUUAAGCAUGUAUAUAAUAGUUGACUUAAAGUGUUUUUUGAAAAUGGAAAUUUUUAAUAAUAUAAUGUGUAAACACUGGACAUCAGAUACUCUCCCUUUCUGGUGUUUGUUGCUGCCACUGCUUGUUUCUCUUGCUGUUUCUUAUUAAUUAAUUUUCCGAACCAGUUCUAUAAAGUCUCUGUUCUUUGUCACACGUAUCACUGAAGUCUCUGCUUGCUUAGCUUUGUGGUCACCUAAUGAUUCAAAAGACAUUUCCGUAAAUGCCUGGAAGCAAUCAGUCUUCUAGCCUUCGCUGAUGGGUUCUGCAUAUGAGUUCAGGCAUGCCUUCAGGACUCCACCAGGCACUUGGUAAUUCUGCCUUAUCCUUCACUUUUUGCUUGAGCAGCGCCGAAAGGUGAGCCAGAGGAGGGAAAUUUGGACAUGGACACAUAGGGAAGACAGCCAUGUGGAGACAGAGGCAGAGGUGGACCUGCUGCCGCAAAACCACAGGGCGCCAAGUACUGUGGGCCACUGAGAAAACUAAAGGAGAGGAAGGAUUCUUCCCUGGAGCUUUGGAGAGGGUGCGGCCCUACUUUCACCUGGAUUUCAGACUUCAGACUUCCAGAACCAUGAAGGAAUAAGCUCUCUUUGUUUCAAAACCACUCAGUCAAGGCACUUUGUUACAACAGCCUAGGAAACUAAUACAGGAAUUGGUAUUAGUAAAAUCAUUAUUGUUGGCUCAUAUGACCAUACUCAUAGAACUUUUAAGAUAAUAUGUAAAUAAGCAACUAAAACAAAAAGUCAGAAAGCUUUAUGGUGCCAGAUCAAUAUACAAAUAAAUAUCAUUAUUUUCCAAUAAAAACAAUUAUAUAAUGUAACAAUAAUAAAGUAAUAAUACAAAGAAACUUCCCAUAAUAGCUACCAAAAAUUCUAAAGUAGUUAUAACUAGUUUUUAAAAAUAAUAUGUUCAGAAAUUUUAUAUAAACAAAUAUAAAUUUUAAGUUAAAAAGAAAAAGAAAUGGAUAAAUACAUCAUUAAUGAAGUUUCAAUCAAAAUUCAUACAUGAAUAUUUCACAGAAUUUGACAAGUAUAUCUAAAAAUUAUUUUAAAGGAGUAAAACGAGCUUGGAAUUAUUUGAAGAAGAAAGUAUUUAUCCUUUUGUAUAUUAAGAGUUAGCCUAAGUCUCCCGGGACUCAAUGGUAUCACCUCUCUAACAAAAAAGGUCACAGAGAUAUGAAAACACAUCAUAAAAAAAUCUAUCGUUUUAUCACACAAUGAUUUGAUCACCUGUGCACAUGGAAACAACCUUAUUUUAAAUCCUUGUUUAGAGUCAAUUUUAAGGGAUAAUGUUGCAUGUGAAGCUCCAUAAUCAUUCUUUUGUGUUAAGUGGUUGAGGAAAAUAUCAGGCUGGUGAGAUGUUAAUUAUAGGUCCAGGGAAUAACUUGAGUUAAUAAAUCAGAGAUGAGUCCAAAGUUCUGUAAACAAGUUUCAACAUUUCUGGGCACCUGAGAUUAAGCACAGCUCUGAGAAGUGCUCCACACGUUCCUAAGUAUAUGAUGCAAGUUUUACUUUGGCAAGAAAAUGUAACUAUAUCUAGUACCCACCUUAGGAACAUGAAUGACGAAAUGGAGAUUUCACAUUUGCCAGAUGAAUAGGACUAAUGUAGAAAAACAAAUCAAACUGUCCUUUACUCUCAGUCAACCCCCUUCUCAAUAACAAAAACAUCCACAUAUCCACAUUGUCCAUCUAUUUUAAGGUCAAUAUAGUAUGGAUAUUAUACCAACUUGCAAAAAUAAAUUAAACCACUUACCACAGGUAUCCUCCAACAUCAUUGGCACCAUUAAAUAACAUUCAUUCAGAACUACUUUUAGUGAAUGUAGAUACUUAAUGUUUACAGACGAGGAAAUCUGAAUGGUACGAAACAAACAGAGACUUGUUCAAGGUCUCACACUGACUCAGCAGCAAAGUCCACAUAGGAAGUGAAUGUUCCUGAAGUAGCACAUUUUGUUUGGACUACAAGACCAACUGAGUUAUUAUCUUUAUUUGAAAAUGAUUCAUGCAAGUCUGCCACAGAUGAAGGCAAGCUGUGGAAUUCUUACUCAAACUCUUUGUUGUUAUUAUGGGAAAGCUUCAAGUCUGGGGUUUUUUGUUUGUUUGUUUAAUACCUCAUAUUUGUUAUCCGAAAAAAACAAACAGCGUUCAUUCACCUGUCAAGCAACAAACGACUCUCCACGAGAAUGCAGAUUUUGAUCAAUAGGAGUUUUAUUACUUGGCUCAAGUAAGGGGAGCACUGGGUGUAUUCUCCAAAGCAGUGUCUCCCUGAGGGAAAGUGGCAGGAGGGUUUUAUGGGGUGAUGGAGAGGGGAGAGGGUGCAUUAUCGCAUGUAGAUGAGGGGUCCCAGCGGUGCAGACACAGUGUCAUCAUGGCAACACAUGGGUUACAUGUUAUGAUAACGGAACUACAGUUCCUCCAGGAUGGAGACGUUACAGUCAUGAGGAAGAUUCACCAGGGUUCAUCUCUAAGUUGCCAGGGUCUGUCAGGAGCUGGUUUCAACCAACUAGGUUACUAUAGUCCACCCAGGGUUUAGGGAAGAACAGGCUGCAGGGCAGGAAGCUGUAAAUCAGGCUGAUGGCUCACGUGGAUUAAACUCCUAUGGUUCCUAGAGACCCUCCUUGUCUGCUUAUAUAUCCUAGAACUGAAAAAUAAAUUGAAAAGUGAAGUGGUUAUGGUGGUCGCACUUCUGAAUUCUGGUAUGCCCCUCCUACCUCCCCCUACUAAGUAAAGAAAGAUAAAUCAGUCGUCUUAACAGUAUUUAAAACAGCCCUUCCCAAAAACUCAAUACAUGAAACUUUCUUUCUAGUUGAUCUUUGUACCAAAUGAUCUGGCCAAUAAAGGAAUAAAAUCUUUGAGCUCAAAUAACCAUGAAAAUGCAAUACCCGAUUUUCCUAAAUGCACUUCCUAAUGUGAAGGCCAUUCACAAAAGCAAAUAUCCACCCCAGAUUCUACUGGGUAUGAAACAUCUCAAUGACUGAUACUUCAUCUUAUCACCUGAAAAUUAAAUAAUUUUAUUACAAAAAGAAUUAGUAGAUUAUAUUGCUAAAUCAAGUUUAGCCUAGAGCUGCCUCCUUACAUAUUUUAAGUUCAGUCUAAACGUUUCUCUGUAGGUAAUGAACUGUAACCUCACUGGACGUGUAAACAGACUGUGACCUACCUACUCUUGUGCCAAUCAUGGAGUUUCAGCCAAUCACAGGCGGCCGGCUGUUCAAACCAUGUUUAAAUAAGGCAAACGCAGAGCUGUAAGCAAUCUAGGUGUUUCUGCACCUCUCGUCCAUUUUCUGUAAGUCCUUUUUCUGUUCAUAAAUCUUCUUCCAUCACGUGGCUGUGCUGGAGUCUUUGAACCUACCCUGCCUCGGGAGGCUGCCCCAAUCAGCAAUUUGUUCUUUGCUCAAUUAAACUCUAUUAAUUUAAUUUGCCUAAAAAUUUUUUAACAAUGUUUACUAGUAAAUUUCAUUUUUUCUUGCAAAAAAGAAAAAAUCCUGAAAACAGGAGUAGGGAAAGAUUGAUGGCUAAAAUUAAAUAUGGUUAACUUUAAUAUUUUAACUUAUCACAAGAAAAUUGCAUUGCUUUGGACUAUAAAAGUGAUACAUAAAUCUUUCACUUCAGUAGCGCCAUCACCAUCAUCAAAUAUUUAAAAACUUACAUAUGAAAAGAAAUAUGGUGGGGAGGGAAGUAGACAGAAACAGUUAAGAAACUAGGACAUAAUAAGACAGCAAAAUUCCUGUUGGUUUAUUUUUUGCUUGUUUCCUUGCUUAGUAUUCUCUGAUAGCCAAAGAAUAGACGAAAUAUUCUAAGAGCCAACGAAUAGACAAAAUUGGGCAGCUGCUUCUGGAAUACAAAGGUACAAAUCCUUAGAAAGUUCUUCUGAGCAGAUAAUCUUCCCAGAGCCUUGACACAAAUGUGAUCAUUAGAAUUUUAUUUCUCUGGGUUAAAAGUAACCUCAGGGAAGACAGCACUGUUGAGAGGCAUUUACAUCACUGAAAAUUAUUUUGGCAUAACAUUUUAAAUAUAAAAACCAGCUUGGAAAAUGAGAGACGCUGGAAAAUGCAAAAGCCUGUGUACAUGGGGCCUAUGCUUUAGGUUGGAGAGCCAGGACCCCGGGCGAGAGAGAACAAGCUAAAUGACCUGAGUUAAGUGACUUGGUCACUGCUGCAAACUUUGCUUCCUCAUCCAUUAAUUGAAGAUAACAAAAGUAAGAACCUAUCGCACAGGAUGGCAGGGAGGACUAAAUUAGCACGACAAUGACCAUCAGAAAAUAUGUGCUCAUUACACAUUAACCAUUUCUCUUCCUCUCGUUCCUCUCCUUUACUUCUUCUACCAGCAUCACCUCCAUUGCCACUUCACAACCUCACUACCCCAUUGCUAAUUUUGUCUUAAGGCAUGCUAGAGGUUUAAAUAAUAAUCAAGUAUACUGCUUUUCACUUAUCAUUAGCAAAAGCUUUUGAACAAGCCUAUGAACAAGAAGAAGCUACGUUCUCCCA